UUUCCAGACUCCUACGGGAGGCAGCAGUGAGGAAUAUUGGUCAAUGGGCUUACGCCUGAACCAGCCAAGUCGCGUGAGGGAAGACUGCCCUAUGGGUUGUAAACCUCUUUUGUCAGGGAGCAACGCCGGCUACGUGUAGCCGGACUGAGAGUACCUGAAGAAAAAGCAUCGGCUAACUCCGUGCCAGCAGCCGCGGUAAUACGGAGGAUGCGAGCGUUAUCCGGAUUCAUUGGGUUUAAAGGGUGCGUAGGUUGUUUUAUAAGUUAGCGGUGAAAUACCGAUGCUCAACAUCGGGGCUGCCGCUAAUACUGUAGGACUAGAGAUCGGAUGCAGCAGGCGGAAUGUGUAGUGUAGCGGUGAAAUGCAUAGAUAUUACACAGAACACCGAUUGCGAAGGCAGCUUGCUAGGCCGGAUCUGACACUGAUGCACGAAAGCGUGGGGAUCGAACAGGAUUAGAUACCCCAGUAC
Molecule: ribosomal RNA, 469 nt
Filed under: uncultured bacterium
Lineage: Bacteria
Description: partial 16S ribosomal RNA
Rfam family: Bacterial small subunit ribosomal RNA
Source: RNAcentral